Molecule: unclassified non-coding RNA, 373 nt
Filed under: soil metagenome
Description: partial contains 5.8S ribosomal RNA, internal transcribed spacer 2, and large subunit ribosomal RNA
Rfam family: 5.8S ribosomal RNA (bases 1-121)
Source: RNAcentral
GAUGAAGAACGUAGCGAAAUGCGAUAAGUAAUGCGAAUUGCAGAAUUCCAGUGAGUCAUCGAAUCUUUGAACGCACAUUGCGCCCUUUGGUAUUCCGAAGGGCAUGCCUGUUCGAGCGUCAUUAUCACCCCUCAAGCCCUCGGCUUGGUGUUGGACGGUUUGGUGGAGGCCCCCUCGGGGGUUCCUGCCCCUCCCAAAGACAAUGACGGCGGCCUCGUUGGACCCCCGGUACACUGAGUUCUUCACGGGACACGUAUCGGACACCUGGGUUUACGGGACACGGUCUGCCUCCCCUCAGGGAGAAUCUUUCUAAGGUUGACCUCGGAUCAGGUAGGGAUACCCGCUGAACUUAAGCAUAUCAAUAAGCGGAGGA